CAGCCACGGUUCCUACCAGACACACUUCUGGCUCCCUCAGAGAAGGGGAAAAAGCACUUGUUGACGCCUCUGAAAAACAGCGUGUAGAGACAGCAUCCUUCUUCCGGUUACUGAUCCUACAGAGAGGGAUGAUGAUCUCUUAAUUUUGUGUGUGGACCAGCAUUUUGACAUCUUACACUGUCCUCCUGUCCAGCGCAGGCAUUUAUUUCCAAGGCACUGGCCUCUCUGGUGUCUGAAAAAUCCCAUGUUGUAACUGCAUCAGGGCCCUUAGCCCAUUCCUUAACUUCGGCCCUUAACUGAACAAAGUUCUUUACUUGUUCAUUGCAGUACUCAGGGCCAACCCUACUAGCAGAUAUCAGUAUCUCCUCAAAAAUUACGUGAAAUAUGAGAUUCAAAGCCAGGCAGCCAAUGCAAAGCGAAGCCUUAAUAGCGGUCAACAUUGUUACUCUAAUUAUUAUACCAUCAUCUCCCUCGAGUUCCAUCGAGUAUCCUUGGCAGGUGCAGCCCCGCGCCCAGGGCUCUGAGCGGUUUCCGAGGCCUCACGCGCUGGCGGGGCUGUUGAGAUCGGUUGGGGGCUCCCAGGCCGCGAGGCGCGCUGCCAGUUGGGAUGAAAAUGGCGGAUGAGGCCGGGCGCGGUGGCUCACGCCUGUGGUCCCAGCACUUUGGGAGGCCGAGGCGGGCGGAUCACAAGGUCAGGAAAUCGAGACCAUCCUGGCGAACACUGUGAAACCCCGUCUCUUCUAAAAAUACAAAAAAAAAUUAGCCAGGCGUGGUGGCGGGCGCUUGUAGUCCCAGCUACUCAGGAUGCUGAGGCAGGAGAAUGGCGUGAACCCGGGAGGCGCAGCUUGCAGCGAGCCAAGAUGGCGCCGCUGCACUCCAGCCUGGGCAGCAGAGCGAGACUCCAUCUCAAAAAAAAAAAAAAAAAAAAAGAAAAGAAAAGAAACUGGCGGACAAAGGAAGAGAUCCUCCUUCAGGCAGGGUAGGGAAGAAGGGCACUCGGUGACCAGAGACCUUUUCCAGGACCAUGUCUUUGAAGCAAAUCUCAGCUCUUGUCUUCCGGAAGCGAUGGAGACAGAAUCCAGAAGCCUGAGAAGUUUCUGAGCUAUCUAAUUACCAAGUGCAGGGCACAGAGCCGUGAUGAGGGAGACAUGAUCUCAGUCUGGAAGACAGACUAUUAAGCCAAAUAUUCCAAAACACUGUGGAGGGUGUUGUGAAUUGGAAACCAAGGACGGAUCACAGCUUGGGAGGAUCAAGACUCUCUCCUUUCCUGGCUUUGAUGAAGCAAGCUGCCACACUGGAGAGGCCUACAUGAUAAGGACCUGAAGGUGGCCUCCAGCUAGCUCCAGCCAACAGUUGGCAAGGAAUUGAGGACCUGAGUCCAAUAGACCUUGAGGAACUGAAUCCUGCAACAGCUACACAAGUGAGCAUGGCAGUGUAUCCUUCCCCAGUAAAGCCUUCAGAUGAGACCCCAGCCCCAGCUGACACCUUGAUUGAAGCCUUGUGAGAGACCCUGAAGCAGAGAAACCAGCUAGGCCUUGCCUGGAUUCCUGAUCCACAAACUGCUUUUGUGAUGCCCUAUAAUUACAUGAACUCUACUAAAAAGAGGGAUACUGGAAAGAAGAAUAAUGUUGAGACACCUUUGCAGAAGAAAAAACAACUUCCUCUCUUCCUCUACUUCACUCUGGCAAGUUCUCCAACCUGACAAGCCAGUAGGGGACAGUUUUGCUCUUGUCGCCCAGGCUGGAGUGCAAUGGC
Molecule: long non-coding RNA, 1755 nt
Filed under: Homo sapiens (human)
Lineage: Eukaryota; Metazoa; Chordata; Mammalia; Primates; Hominidae
Description: HSALNT0353068
Source: RNAcentral